Molecule: ribosomal RNA, 775 nt
Filed under: uncultured Neocallimastigales
Lineage: Eukaryota; Fungi; Neocallimastigomycota; Neocallimastigomycetes; Neocallimastigales
Description: partial large subunit ribosomal RNA
Rfam family: Eukaryotic large subunit ribosomal RNA
Source: RNAcentral
UAUCUCUGUAGAGUCUGCAUAUCAAUAAGCGGAGGAAAAGAAACUAACUAGGAUUCCCUCAGUAACGGCGAGUGAAGCGGGAAGAGCUCAAAUUUGAAAUCUUCAAGGUUCUACCUUGACGAAUUGUAGUUUAAAGAAGUGUUUUCUGUUAGGAGAGGUGGUAAAAGUUCUUUGGAAUAGGACAUCAUAGAGGGCGAGAAUCCCGUAUUUGACUAUUCCUUCUAGCUUUGUGAUACACUUUCAAAGAGUCGGAUUGUUUGGGAAUGCAGUCCAAAAUGGGUGGUAAAUUUCAUCUAAAGCUAAAUAUUGGCGAGAGACCGAUAGCGAACAAGUACCGUGAGGGAAAGAUGAAGAGAACUUUGAAAAGAGAGUUAAACAGUACGUGAAAUUGUCAAAAGGGAAGCGUUUGACACCAGUGUUGUUUUUCCGAAAAUCAAUUAAGAAUGUUUUAUUUUUGAGGAGUUAUGACUUCAUCGGCUUGCUCCUUUCUUUAUGGAACUUUCUUAAUGCACUUUUCGGUUAACAAGUCAACAUCAAUUUCUUUUGUUGUAAAAGGUUAAGAGGAAGGUGGCUUUACUUUCGGGUAAAGUGUUUAUAGCCUUUUAACUCUGCAAUCGGAGAGAUUGAGGUCUGCAGCGUAGAUCCUUCGGGGCUAGAUACGUUUGUGCUAAGUUAUAGCUUUUCAUAGACAACUUGUUGACUAUGUUUAGUCUUGUAGCUUACUCGCUGACGCUAUUUUACCUACGCUUAGGAUGUUGAGUAGCGACAUACGCAC